GACGAACCGUGCGAACGUUGUUCGGAAUCACUGGGCUUAAAGGGCGCGUAGACGGACCACCCAGUCCGGGGUGAAAUCUUUCGGCUCAACCGGAAAAGGGCCUUGGAUACUGGUGGUCUGGAGGAAGGUAGGGGCAUGCGGAACUUCCGGUGGAGCGGUGAAAUGCGUUGAUAUCGGAAGGAACGCCGGUGGCGAAAGCGGCGUGCUGGACCUUUUCUGACGCUGAUGCGCGAAAGCCAGGGGAGCGAACGGG
RNAcentral lists this ribosomal RNA (253 nucleotides) under uncultured bacterium. RNAcentral describes it as "partial 16S ribosomal RNA". It matches the Rfam family "Bacterial small subunit ribosomal RNA", at positions 524 to 776 of the family's 1533-position model. The record is from RNAcentral.